RNAcentral lists this long non-coding RNA (753 nucleotides) under Homo sapiens (human). RNAcentral describes it as "HSALNT0358026". The record is from RNAcentral. Lineage: Eukaryota; Metazoa; Chordata; Mammalia; Primates; Hominidae.
GAGAAACAUUUUGCACUGUGCUGGGGGAUUCUACCCACAUAAGUCAGCAUGUUACUUGCUAGAUAAAAGAGCAAUGAAUGGAGUACUUCAUUUUAAAUGCCGCAACUCAGCAAGAAAAAAAAAGUGUCUGGUAUCUUCCUGAACAACUACCUGGUAUUAUACAGACGCCUAAAUACCUGACGUGUGACAGCAAAUGCCUGUUCCCAUGGAGCUGCUGCUUCUGAGAAAGCUUGAAACAGACAAAGAAUAAGGUAGAAAUGACCUCCUCACUAGAGAUGAAAAGAAGCUGUCCUGGUGAGGAAAUUGGAUCCCAGCUUUUGCCGCUAAGAUUCUUCUCUUCUGCCUCUGGUUUUCUUUAUUGUUCACCCCCAGAAGCAAUCGCUCUCUCACAAGGCAACACACGCAAUAGAGUGAACAGUGAUUCUACAGUCUGAUUCUGGAAAAGGCGACCACAGUGGAAAGAGUGAUCCACACAAGUAUAGGGCCUCCUGAUUAAAACACUAAGAUUUCAUCUCACGCUGUGCCUUUAUACUGUUGAGAUACUAAAGAGGACACUAAAGAUCAAAGUGCUACUUUACAACAUUUUGAAGAAAACAACUGCUACCUGUGUAUUAGUUUGUGCAGAUGUGUUACACAGCUUAGCUGUGUCUGUACCAGUUUAUUAGAAUCAAAGUAUUUUUAAAGUACCUAAGGCCAGGCACAGUGGCUCACACCUGUAAUCCCAGCACUUUGGGAGGCUGAGGCAAGUGGAUC